AUAUGUGUAUAUAUAUAUAUAUAUAUAUAUAUAUAUAUAUAUAUAUAUAUAUAUAUAUAUAAUAGUAUAUGAGGGAUUUGAAGAGGGUACACUCCACCAGAUCAUGUCAAAUUGUAGGAAUUCUCAUAACAUUUUGUUCCCUUUUUUUAAAUUACUGUAAUACGAACAUUCACACCAUAAAGGGAUAUAGCAGUUUUUCAUACAAUGUAACCACAUGCUACUUUCUACCUAAAAUAUACAGUCAGUGGUUAUUAAGCCUGCUGACUGAAUGCGUGCCUCUAUCUGUACUUUCCAUUUCACACCGUUCACUCGUAGGAAAACCAAUUUUGUGAUGUCAUUUGAAGCUGUGCUGUUCCAGGUACAGUCGAAGAAACCCGUUAAUAUCUUCCAACAAUGUUUCACACUGAAGAGUCUAUAGAGACACUGUUGGAGAGUCUGUAAAGUCAGCAGUUUGAUGUUGCAGAAGUAUAGUAUUUUUAAUGGUAUAUUUUGCUCUUUUUCCUUCAGGAAGAUCUAUUUUGUAGUUGUUUUGUGCUGUAUAGUGUAUGUUUUUUGCUCUAUGUACUGUUCGGUCCUUAUUUUUUUCACUCAGAGGAUGGAUUCUCCAAAAAGUACAUCUUCAACGUGUAGGAAGAGUUUUUCCUUUUUUAUUUUGCCUCUCGUCUGUGUGUCCAUUCGAUAUGUUUUCCUUCACCAGCUCUGAAGUCAGAAAAAAUCAAGUCGCUCAAAACUCCGAACUAUAAAGUGUAACAAUCUUAGCUAAUUGCAUUUAAAACUUACUGCAUCCUCAAAACAGGCUGCCUGACACUUGGUAAAGCAGGAUCUAUUUUCUGUACCAAGGGACCAACACAUGUACAGUCUCGUAGUUUGCUCUACUUUCCACUUGCUACUGUGUUAGCCUACUGUAUGAAUAUCUAACAGGAAUUUAUACCAACCAUAAGAAGCAUAGCUAUAUUCACGACAUGUAAAGACUUCUAAACAUGGUGUUUUGUAACGGUUACUAUGAAACAGAUUCUAUGUUGUUUGUUUGAUGCUUUGUUUCCUUGUUUAGUCUGAAUCACCAUAUAAUGACUGAUCUCAAACUGUUUUAGUGACUGAGGUUAGAUGGAUGUAAAGCGAGUGUGAGUGAGUGAGUGUCUGUGUGUGUGUGUCUGUGUGUGAAACCACAAAAAUCAAUGUGCAUUUCUGAUCUCCUCACUGUGAUCUGCUCUGUCUGUGAGAGUGCGAUGAGGUGACUGUGAGAAAGAAUCAAAAAGUGAUGCAGUGGAGCAUAUAAAGCUGGGUGAACAAUUAAUUUUAGAUCCAGCUGUAUGUUUUAAAUACCCCAUCAGGCUGAUAUGUCUGCUCAUAUAAAACAGCAGCAGACAUAUUAUGUGGGUAAAACUUUAAAAAAAAAAAAAAGAAACAGUGAGGUGGACAAGCAAAUUAAUAGCCGCCUUAUUUUACCUUCCACUAUAUCCCUGAAUAGACAGAAUGACUGAGAGUGAGAGUGUGUGUGUGCGUGUGUGUGCCUGUGUGUGCAUGUAUGUGCAUGCGUGUGUGUGCGUGUGUGUGCGUGUGUGUGUGUGUGUGUGCAUGUGUGCGUGUGUGUGCAUGCGUGUGUGUGUGUGUGUGUGUGUGUCACUGUCCCGUGCCGGCCAGGCGGCCGUGUGUGCCACCAUGCUCUGUGACUGCACAGCCGUAUCAAUAAAUCUGGAUUCAAAGGGCUCAGAUCAUGUC
Amphiprion ocellaris (clown anemonefish) is the source of this 1719-nucleotide long non-coding RNA. NCBI's taxonomy places the organism in Eukaryota, Metazoa, Chordata, Actinopteri, Pomacentridae. The record is from Ensembl.